CCUACGGGGGGCAGCAGUGGGGAAUAUUGCACAAUGGGGGAAACCCUGAUGCAGCGACGCCGCGUGAGUGAGGAAGUAUUUCGGUAUGUAAAGCUCUAUCAGCAGGGAAGAAAAUGACGGUACCUGACUAAGAAGCCCCGGCUAACUACGUGCCAGCAGCCGCGGUAAUACGUAGGGGGCAAGCGUUAUCCGGAUGUACUGGGUGUAAAGGGAGCGUAGACGGCUCAGCAAGUCAGAAGUGAAAACCCAGGGCUCAACGUGGGGACUGCUUUUGAAACUGAGUAGCUAGAGUGCAGGAGCGGUCCGCGUCCUUCCUAGUGUAGCGGUGACCUUCGUAGCUAUUAGGUGGAUCACCGGUGUCGCCGGCGGCUUACUGGACUCUCACUGCCGUUGCGCCUCGCCCGCGUGAGCAAACAGGAUUAGAUACCCCAGUAGUC
RNAcentral lists this ribosomal RNA (437 nucleotides) under uncultured bacterium. Its description in RNAcentral is "partial 16S ribosomal RNA". It matches the Rfam family "Bacterial small subunit ribosomal RNA", at positions 338 to 795 of the family's 1533-position model. The record is from RNAcentral.